This 1152-nucleotide long non-coding RNA is filed under the name Podarcis muralis (Common wall lizard). RNAcentral describes it as "lncRNA (ENSPMRG00000004846.1)". The record is from RNAcentral. Lineage: Eukaryota; Metazoa; Chordata; Lepidosauria; Squamata; Lacertidae.
CAGGGCUCGAUCCUAUCCCCACAUUGUUUAACAUCUACAUAAAACCGCUUUUCAGUCAAGGCUUGGCUAAGGUCAGCUGCUACUCUUUGGAACAGGGAGCAGAGCUUAAGCGAUACAGAAAUUAAACCAACAGACUACGGGAGAUAACUUAAAUUAAUUUCUCAGUUUAUUGAUAUACAAAACUUGGGAGAACGAAAUGACAUGAAGUGCACUUGUAAAUGACUCAGCAUACAAAACAUUUCCACCCAUCUUACUGUUCAUGUCAACAGGACUACACAAAACCUGGGCUAAGAAGGAACAUAAUCUCUUUCAGACGUGGAGAAGGAAGAACAUGGAUGAGCAGGUGUGUUUCCUUUAUGUACUUCUGGACAUAGGGAACAUGGAAUAUUUUAAGAAUCAUACGUCCCUUUAAUUUCUGGUUGUCAGGUGCUCCUUUGUGUUCAGAUCAGGCCUCAGCACAAUAAUGUAGCACUUGGGAAGGAAGAUGCAGCCCAGAAGCCCAGCACUGGAGGCCAACAUAGAGAAGAUCUGCACGGCCACCAUGUACUUGCCCUUGGUGCUCAGAAAUACCUUCCCCCUUGGAGUCACCCACCUUCCUGGGCGGAGAAGGUCCCUUCCGCACACCGAGCACAAGCAUAGCAGCAAACCGGCUUUCCUUCUAGAACCAGCUUGGCAUAUCCAGGUCGACAUCUUUCUGUACACCUGGAACGAGGUACAUUCUAACCAGAAAGACAAGAAGGUGCAAGAAAGAGGAACAGUUAGGAGUAUUUGUGGGUAUGCAAUUCACUCAUAGGGCUGCGGGUGGCGCUGUGGGUUAAACCACAGAGCCUAGGACUUGCUGAUCAGAAGGUCGGACGUUUGAAUCCCCAUGACGGGGUGAGCUCCCGUUGCUCGGUCCCAGCUCCUGCCAACCUAGCAGUUCAAAAGCACGUCAAAAGUUCAAGUAGAUAAAUAGGUACCGCUCUGGCGGGAAGGUAAACGGUGUUUCUGUACGCUGCUCUGGUUCGCCAGAAGCAGCUUAGUCAUGCUGGCCACAUGACCCAGAAGCUGUACGCUGGCUCCCUCGGCCAAUAAAGCGAGAUGAGCACCGCAACCCCAGAGUCGGCCACAACUGGACCUAAUGAUCAGGGUCCCGUUACCUUUACCUUAAUU